UUUUUCCUGUAAUGGUUUUUUGUUUAAAUGUUUUUUCGCCUAAGGAUGGGUCUGCGGCCGAUUAGGUAGUUGGUUAGGUAAUGGCUUACCAAGCCGUUGAUCGGUACGGGUUGUGAGAGCAAGAGCCCGGAGAUGGAACCUGAGACAAGGUUCCAGGCCCUACGGGGUGCAGCAGGCGCGAAACCUCCGCAAUGUGAGAAAUCGCGACGGGGGGAUCCCAAGUGCCAUUCUUAACGGGAUGGCUUUUCAUUAGUGUAAAGAGCUUUUGGAAUAAGAGCUGGGCAAGACCGGUGCCAGCCGCCGCGGUAACACCGGCAGCUCUAGUGGUAGCAAUUUUUAUUGGGCCUAAAGCGUCCGUAGCCGGUUUAAUAAGUCUCUGGUGAAAUCCUGCAGCUUAACUGUGGGAAUUGCUGGAGAUACUAUUAGACUUGAGACCGGGAGAGGUUAGAGGUACUCCCAGGGUAGAGGUGAAAUUCUGUAAUCCUGGGAGGACCGCCUGUUGCGAAGGCGUCUAGCUGGAACGGUUCUGACGGUGAGGGACGAAAGUUAGGGGCGCGAACCGGAUUAGAUACCCGGGUAGUCCUAACUGUAAACGAUGCGGACUUGGUGUUGGGGUGGCUUUGAGCUGCUUCAGUGCCGAAGGGAAGCUGUUAAGUCCGCCGCCUGGGAAGUACGGUCGCAAGACUGAAACUUAA
This 695-nucleotide ribosomal RNA is filed under the name uncultured archaeon. RNAcentral describes it as "bacterial SSU rRNA". It matches the Rfam family "Archaeal small subunit ribosomal RNA", at positions 164 to 859 of the family's 1478-position model. The record is from RNAcentral.